UCCCAGGUGGCUCAGUGGUAAAGAACCUGCCUGCAAAGCAGGGGACGCAGGUUCAAUCCCUGGGUCAGGAA
RNAcentral lists this transfer RNA (71 nucleotides) under Capra hircus (goat). It matches the Rfam family "tRNA". Rfam says of the family: Transfer RNA (tRNA) molecules are approximately 80 nucleotides in length. Their secondary structure includes four short double-helical elements and three loops (D, anti-codon, and T loops). The record is from Rfam by way of RNAcentral. RNAcentral also lists the same sequence under 1 other name. Lineage: Eukaryota; Metazoa; Chordata; Mammalia; Artiodactyla; Bovidae.